RNAcentral lists this ribosomal RNA (476 nucleotides) under uncultured Bacillota bacterium. RNAcentral's name for it is "bacterial SSU rRNA". It matches the Rfam family "Bacterial small subunit ribosomal RNA", at positions 28 to 504 of the family's 1533-position model. The record is from RNAcentral. Lineage: Bacteria; Bacillati; Bacillota.
GACGAACGCUGGCGGCGUGCCUAACACAUGCAAGUCGAGCGGGGUUACUGGCAGUUAGCUUGCUAACAGCCAUUAACCUAGCGGCGGACGGGUGAGUAACGCGUGAGCAACCUGCCUUGUACAGGGGGAUAACAAGUGGAAACACUUGCUAAUACCGCAUAAGACCACACUAUCGCAUGAUAGAGAGGUAAAAGGGAAUAACCGGUACAAGAUGGGCUCGCGUCCCAUUAGCUAGUUGGUAAGGUAAAGGCUUACCAAGGCGACGAUGGGUAGCCGACCUGAGAGGGUGACCGGCCACACUGGGACUGAGACACGGCCCAGACUCCUACGGGAGGCAGCAGUGGGGGAUAUUGCGCAAUGGGGGGAACCCUGACGCAGCGACGCCGCGUGAGCGAAGAAGGUUUUCGGAUCGUAAAGCUCUGUCUUUGGGGAAGAAGGAAGUGACGGUACCCAAGGAGGAAGCCCCGGCUAACUAC